UACGUAGGGGGCAAGCGUUGUCCGGAUUUAUUGGGCGUAAAGAGCGUGUAGGCGGCCGCACAGGUCCGUUGUGAAAACUGGAGGCUUAACCUUCAGACGUCGAUGGAAACCGUGCGGCUAGAGUCCGGAAGAGGAGAAUGGAAUUCCUGGUGUAGCGGUGAAAUGCGCAGAUAUCAGGAAGAACACCCGUGGCUAAGGCGGUUCUCUAGUACGGUACUGACGCUGAGACGCGAAAGCGUGGGGAGCGAACAGG
RNAcentral lists this ribosomal RNA (253 nucleotides) under uncultured bacterium. RNAcentral describes it as "partial 16S ribosomal RNA". It matches the Rfam family "Bacterial small subunit ribosomal RNA", at positions 524 to 776 of the family's 1533-position model. The record is from RNAcentral. RNAcentral also lists the same sequence under 3 other names.